Molecule: non-coding RNA, 108 nt
Filed under: Jeotgalibacillus malaysiensis
Lineage: Bacteria; Bacillati; Bacillota; Bacilli; Caryophanales; Caryophanaceae
Description: SAM-I sequence
Rfam family: SAM riboswitch aptamer (S box leader)
About the family: The SAM riboswitch is found upstream of a number of genes which code for proteins involved in methionine or cysteine biosynthesis in Gram-positive bacteria. The SAM riboswitch acts at the level of transcription termination control.
Source: RNAcentral
UUCUUAUCAAGAGAGGCGGAGGGAACAGGCCCGUUGAAACCUCAGCAACCUACACACAAUGUGAAAAGGUGCUAAAUCCAUCCUGCAAUCAUGCAGGGAAGAUAAGAA